Molecule: unclassified non-coding RNA, 219 nt
Filed under: uncultured Propionibacteriaceae bacterium
Lineage: Bacteria; Bacillati; Actinomycetota; Actinomycetes; Propionibacteriales; Propionibacteriaceae
Description: contains 16S-23S intergenic spacer region
Rfam family: Bacterial small subunit ribosomal RNA
Source: RNAcentral
UGGGCUUGACAUGCACGGAAAUCCGGCAGAGAUGUCGGGUCCGUAAGGGCCGUGCACAGGUGGUGCAUGGCUGUCGUCAGCUCGUGUCGUGAGAUGUUGGGUUAAGUCCCGCAACGAGCGCAACCCUCGUUCCAUGUUGCCAGCACGUAAUGGUGGGGACUCAUGGGAGACUGCCGGGGUCAACUCGGAGGAAGGUGGGGAUGACGUAGCUAAGCCUUC